Molecule: ribosomal RNA, 702 nt
Filed under: uncultured soil bacterium PBS-72
Lineage: Bacteria
Description: bacterial SSU rRNA
Rfam family: Bacterial small subunit ribosomal RNA
Source: RNAcentral
ACGGGGACAGCGGCGAAAGGGAGAGGAAUACGUGGAUACCCACCCCCAGGUUCAGGAUAGCUGUGGGAAACUACAGGUAAUACUGAAUAAUAUCUCCGGAUCAAAGGUGUGAUUCCACCUGAGGAGGGGUCCGCGUCCUAUUAGCUAGUUGGCGAGGUAACGGCUCACCAAGGCGAAGAUGGGUACGGGAUGUGAGAGCAUGAUCCCGCUCACUGGGACUGAGACACUGCCCAGACACCUACGGGUGGCUGCAGUCGAGAAUCUUCGGCAAUGGGGGAAACCCUGACCGAGCGACGCCGCGUGCGAGAUGAAGGCCUUCGGGUUGUAAAUCGCUGUCAGAGGGGAGGAAAUGCUAGUGGGUUCUCCCAUUAGUUUGACCUAUCCUCAGAGGAAGGACGGGCUAAGUUCGUGCCAGCAGCCGCGGUAAGACGAACCGUCCAAACGUUAUUCGGAAUCACUGGGCUUAAAGGGUGCGUAGGCGGUCCGGGAAGUUGGGUGUGAAAGCCCUCAGCUCAACUGAGGAAUAGCGCCCAAAACUGCCGGGCUUGAGGGAGACAUAGGUGAGCGGAACUUAGGGUGGAGCGGUGAAAUGCGUUGAGAUCCUAAGGAACACCAGUAGCGAAAGCGGCUCACUGGGUCUCUUCUGACGCUGAUGCACGAAAGCUAGGGGAGCGAAGAGGAUUAGAUACCCUCGUAGUCCUA